GACGUAGGUGGCGAGCGUUGUUCGGAAUCACUGGGCAUAAAGCGCACGUAGGCGGCCAAGUCAGUCAGGUGUGAAAUACCUCGGCUCAACCGAGGAACUGCGCCUGAUACUGCUUGGCUUGAGGUCCGGAGGGGAGAGUGGAAUUCCCGGUGGAGCGGUGAAAUGCGUAGAGAUCGGGAAGAACGCCGGCGGCGAAAGCGACUCUCUGGUCGGAAUCUGACGCUGAGGUGCGAAAGCUAGGGGAGCAAACGGGG
RNAcentral lists this ribosomal RNA (254 nucleotides) under uncultured bacterium. Its description in RNAcentral is "partial 16S ribosomal RNA". It matches the Rfam family "Bacterial small subunit ribosomal RNA", at positions 524 to 777 of the family's 1533-position model. The record is from RNAcentral.